This 477-nucleotide ribosomal RNA is filed under the name Naso mcdadei (squarenose unicornfish). Its description in RNAcentral is "partial small subunit ribosomal RNA". It matches the Rfam family "Bacterial small subunit ribosomal RNA", at positions 788 to 1491 of the family's 1533-position model. The record is from RNAcentral. Lineage: Eukaryota; Metazoa; Chordata; Actinopteri; Acanthuriformes; Acanthuridae.
CACUAUGCCUGGCCCUAAACAUUAAUAGUACUUUACAACUGCUAUCCGCCCGGGUACUACGAGCAUCAGCUUAAAACCCAAAGGACUUGGCGGUGCUUUAGAUCCACCUAGAGGAGCCUGUUCUAGAACCGAUAACCCCCGUUCAACCUCACCCUUUCUUGUUUAUCCCGCCUAUAUACCACCGUCGUCAGCUUACCCUGUGAAGGCCCUAUAGUAAGCAAAAUUGGCAAAGCCCAAAACGUCAGGUCGAGGUGUAGCGUAUGAAAGGGGAAGAAAUGGGCUACAUUCUCUGACCCAGGGAACCACGAAUAAUUCAUUGAAAUAUGAGUCUGAAGGAGGAUUUAGCAGUAAGUGGAAAAUAGAGCGUUCCGCUGAAACCGGCCCUGAAGCGCGCACACACCGCCCGUCACUCUCCCCGAGCUUAAAGAACUGCAAAUAAAUAAGACCCCAUAACUGCAAAGGGGAGGCAAGUCGUAA